UGAAGUAUGGUAAGGUGCACUCCUCCACGAUUAGAGGCCCUGGUUGUGUCCGGCGGCUGACAGUGUGCAAACACCGAAAACAAGAAGCUGUCCCUGCUAUUAAAUAAUACAGCGGGAAAAAGCCUGCAGGGUGAAAUGAGUGCAGACGAGAUGAGUGAGUGACAUCGAGGAGAACAGAUGAGCGGUGAAAGACCGUUUGAAGGGGAGGUUGAGCAUAGUGAAGGAGGGGCAAAAGAAGUGAGGUCCGUUCUUCAACUCUGGCCUUUGUUUGCAUUGGUCAUUAUUUGCUCUA
Long non-coding RNA from Thalassophryne amazonica, 292 nucleotides. RefSeq lists it as uncharacterized. The record is from RefSeq and is a predicted model, not a curated record. The transcript has 3 exons. Lineage: Eukaryota; Metazoa; Chordata; Actinopteri; Batrachoidiformes; Batrachoididae.